This 24-nucleotide non-coding RNA is filed under the name Arabidopsis thaliana (thale cress). Lineage: Eukaryota; Viridiplantae; Streptophyta; Magnoliopsida; Brassicales; Brassicaceae. The record is from RNAcentral.
UAGAGGUGACUCUAUUUUAAAGGC